AUUGAACGCUGGCGGCGUGCUUAACACAUGCAAGUCGAGCGGUAACGCGGGGGCAACCCUGGCGACGAGCGGCGAACGGGUGAGUAAUGCUUCGGAAUCUUCCUCGUAGUGGGGAAUAACUUGGGGAAACUCAAGCUAAUACCGCAUACGAACUACGGUUGAAAGCGGGGGAUCGCAAGACCUCGCGCUAUGAGAUGAGCCGAAGUCGGAUUAGCUAGUUGGUGGGGUAAUGGCCUACCAAGGCGACGAUCCGUAGCUGGUCUGAGAGGACGACCAGCCACACUGGGACUGAGACACGGCCCAGACUCCUACGGGAGGCAGCAGUGGGGAAUAUUGGACAAUGGGCGCAAGCCUGAUCCAGCGACGCCGCGUGUGUGAAGAAGGCCUGCGGGUUGUAAAGCACUUUUAGUGGGGAUGAAAAGCCAAGGGCUAAUACCCUUUGGUCUUGACCUAACCCAAAGAAAAAGGCACCGGCUAACUCUGUGCCAGCAGCCGCGGUAAUACAGAGGGUGCAAGCGUUAAUCGGAAUUACUGGGCGUAAAGCGUGCGUAGUCGGCUUUUCAAGUCGGGUGUGAAAGCCCCGGGCUCAACCUGGGAAUUGCAUUCGAUACUGGAUCGCUAGAGUUCCGGCAGAGGGAAGCGGAAUUUCGGGUGUAGCGGUGAAAUGCGUAGAUAUCCGAAGGAACAUCAGUGGCGAAAGCGGCUUCCUGGACCAGAACUGACGAUCAGGCAACGAAA
Molecule: ribosomal RNA, 738 nt
Filed under: uncultured bacterium
Lineage: Bacteria
Description: bacterial SSU rRNA
Rfam family: Bacterial small subunit ribosomal RNA
Source: RNAcentral